GUACUCGCUUCGGCGGUACAUAUACUAAAAUUGGAACGAUACAGAGAAGAUUAGCAUGGCCACUGCGCAAGGAUGACACGCAAAAUUGUGAAGCGUUCCACAUUUUU
RNAcentral lists this small nuclear RNA (107 nucleotides) under Schistocerca americana (American grasshopper). The record is from RNAcentral. Lineage: Eukaryota; Metazoa; Arthropoda; Insecta; Orthoptera; Acrididae.